RNAcentral lists this transfer RNA (26 nucleotides) under Eptesicus fuscus (big brown bat). RNAcentral's name for it is "partial tRNA-Pro". Lineage: Eukaryota; Metazoa; Chordata; Mammalia; Chiroptera; Vespertilionidae. The record is from RNAcentral.
CAGGANAUAUUUUAUAUAGAAUACCA